This 241-nucleotide unclassified non-coding RNA is filed under the name Hevea brasiliensis (rubber tree). The record is from RNAcentral. Lineage: Eukaryota; Viridiplantae; Streptophyta; Magnoliopsida; Malpighiales; Euphorbiaceae.
CGUUGAUUCAUUGAGAUACACAUCAGCAUUAUCGGUGGGGCUUGCUAUUGUAUUUGUGGCAAUCACUGCUGGAGUGGCAAUUGUUAAAUUAAUAGAAGGAAGUAUCAGAAUGCCACGUUUGGUGCCCGAACUCAAUGAUCAAGCAUCUUUCUGGAAGCUUUUUACAGUUAUACCUGUUUUAGUCACUGCUUACAUAUGCCACCACAACAUUCACCCUAUAGAGAAUGAACUGAAAGACCCC